GUAUUUAUUAAGCUCCUACUAAGUUUAGAGCACUGUGCAAUGCAUUUACAAAUAAUAUCUCAUUUCUUUCUGACAACAAUCCUUUAUAUAUGACAACAACUUUACAAUUGAAGAAACUGAGGUAAACAGAGAUUAAGUGACUUGCUCAGGGUCCCACUGCUAGUAAGUUUCUGAACUAGGAUUUGAACUUUGAUCUUCCUGAUUCCAGGCUGAGUACUCUCAUAGACUUGAAUUCCACUUGUCCUGGUGGUCCUCUCAAUUGAUCUUUGGAGUAUCAUAGGGUGAUAUUAAGAUAUCCAAUUUUCUUCACUUAGAACCUGGAAAGAAUGGAGCUGAUAGAGACAGAAGCAACAGCAGAGGUGAAGAAUAUCUUCUUUUGGAGGACCACUGCACGUAUGCUUCAUCUUUUUUUAGACACUCACCUUCUGUCUUUGGAUCCAUGCUAACUAUUAGUUACAAGGCAAAAGAAUGGUAAGGGCUAGGCGCCUGGGGUUAAGAGACUUGUACAGUCACACAGCUAGAAAAUG
Molecule: long non-coding RNA, 527 nt
Filed under: Monodelphis domestica (gray short-tailed opossum)
Lineage: Eukaryota; Metazoa; Chordata; Mammalia; Didelphimorphia; Didelphidae
Description: lncRNA (ENSMODG00000051442.1)
Source: RNAcentral